Molecule: long non-coding RNA, 1345 nt
Organism: Bubalus bubalis (water buffalo)
Lineage: Eukaryota; Metazoa; Chordata; Mammalia; Artiodactyla; Bovidae
Exons: 2
Source: RefSeq, a predicted model, not a curated record
CCACUCAGCCGGGGCGGGAGAGGGGCGGCCGGGUGGGCAGGGGGCGAAGGCGCGGGAACGGUUGGGCCUACGCAGCGUCGGCGCCCUCCAUCAUUCCGGAGAGCCCGGCUGCGGCCGGCAGGUUUUCCGCCCACGGAGACCCGAGCUGCCUCGCCGAGAGCGGAGAAGUCGGUGCUGAGCCUCCUGGAAGCGAGAGCCGAGAAGGAGAAAGCGAAGGCCCCUCUCGCGCAGGGCCACAUCCUUACCUCGGUGCUCCUGCGGCACUUCCUAUUUGCAGAGGGUUUAACCACCCCCUCCCCCCCAGCUUCGAUGGUGUCUUUAGAGUUUCUGCGUGAGUCAGUGCUUACUGUUUUCCGUUCUACAGACUAGGCUUCGCGAGGCCUUAUAUUGGAACCUAACGUUUCACCAAAUGCAGAGGCCCUGCGCCCCCAGGGUACUUCCUUUCUUCUUGCCCCAGGCAGCCGUUGGUUUCUAGCCAAGGUCACUCAAGUGGCUGCAGAAUGGUCAUUUGUGCUUUCUUAAGGCAGGCAGUUAUUUUGUCCAUCGCCUGGUGCACACUUUCUUCGUUCAACUGAUGCUUCUCAGCACCAGCAGAAUUCAGUUAGAGUAGAUGGACAGAGUAAUUCCACCAGAAGCUGUCUAAAUGGUCACUUUCAAUUAGGAUUUCUGGAAAAUGCCAAAGAAGACCCCAAUGAGAAAGUAAGCAGUGUUGGAGAAAUACUCCACUUAAGGGUGACUGAACUAGGAUGUAAGUUCCUUAGGAUACAGCUGACUGGGGGUGGGGGUGGGGAGAGAGCAAAUAGAAUUUCUGGCUCAGGAAACCUGAAUGUUGGCUUUUUUUUUUUUAACCCCAAGAUAUUUAUCAUAGCAAACAAUCAUUAUCUUAACGCUGGUGACGGCUCAGUAUAACCAUGCUAAUUACAGUACUUAAUUUUUCUCCUGCCACAGUGACCCUUAAUUAAAAACUAUUUGUAUUAAGAAGUCUAAGUAAAAGAAAGUUAGUGGAUAACUUGCAUUUACUUUUGUCAGUAACUCUGGUCUUCACUCUACAGGGGCUCAGCCGACUUGAGGGUACACUAGAAAUCCUGUAAUGAAGACCACCUGAACCAGAAGGGUGUGCUUAACAACACAUUUUCAACUUCUGAUAGACUUUGCAUCUAGGGUGUUCCCUCAACUAACUGGCAGUACUGGUUACACAUCACAGGGUAUUGUUUCCACUUUCGUUUUACAAGUGAAAGUGACAAGAUAUCUUUGCAGCUGAUUCUGUAGCCUAAUAUUUCCAUUAUGGAGUCAUCAUCUAUGUAAUUUGGAAGAAUGGGAGUAUCUGAAUUUCUGUGGGAAUAAA